Molecule: ribosomal RNA, 270 nt
Filed under: Lactobacillus delbrueckii subsp. bulgaricus
Lineage: Bacteria; Bacillati; Bacillota; Bacilli; Lactobacillales; Lactobacillaceae
Description: partial 23S ribosomal RNA
Rfam family: Bacterial large subunit ribosomal RNA
Source: RNAcentral
CAGCAAGGUUAAGUCAGAAAAGACGGAGCCGUAGCGAAAGCGAGUCUGAAGAGGGCGAGCAGUUGGCUGACGCAGACCCGAAACCAAGUGACCUACCCAUGACCAGGUUGAAGGCGCGGUAAAACGCGCUGGAGGACCGAACCCACGUAAGUUGAAAAUUGCGGGGAUGAGUUGUGGGUAGCGGUGAAAUUCCAAACGAACUUGGAGAUAGCUGGUUCUCUCCGAAAUAGCUUUAGGGCUAGCCUCGCAAAGAGGAUGCUGGAGGUAGAG